Molecule: ribosomal RNA, 253 nt
Filed under: uncultured bacterium
Lineage: Bacteria
Description: partial 16S ribosomal RNA
Rfam family: Bacterial small subunit ribosomal RNA
Source: RNAcentral
UACGUAGGGUGCGAGCGUUGUCCGGAAUUAUUGGGCGUAAAGAGCUCGUAGGCGGCUUGUCGCGUCGGUUGUGAAAGCCCGGGGCUUAACUCCGGGUCUGCAGUCGAUACGGGCAGGCUAGAGUGUGGUAGGGGAGAUCGGAAUUCCUGGUGUAGCGGUGAAAUGCGCAGAUAUCAGGAGGAACACCGGUGGCGAAGGCGGGUCUCUGGGCAGUAACUGACGCUGAGGAGCGAAAGCGUGGGGAGCGAACAGG